UACGGGAGGCAGCAGUGAGGAAUAUUGGUCAAUGGGCGAGAGCCUGAACCAGCCAAGUAGCGUGCAGGAUGACGGCCCUAUGGGUUGUAAACUGCUUUUAUGCGGGGAUAAAGUUCACUACGUGUAGUGUUUUGUAGGUACCGCAUGAAUAAGGACCGGCUAAUUCCGUGCCAGCAGCCGCGGUAAU
This 187-nucleotide ribosomal RNA is filed under the name uncultured rumen bacterium. RNAcentral's name for it is "partial 16S ribosomal RNA". It matches the Rfam family "Bacterial small subunit ribosomal RNA", at positions 340 to 524 of the family's 1533-position model. The record is from RNAcentral.